RNAcentral lists this non-coding RNA (25 nucleotides) under Cricetulus griseus (Chinese hamster). Lineage: Eukaryota; Metazoa; Chordata; Mammalia; Rodentia; Cricetidae. The record is from RNAcentral.
UUGGUGUAAGACUUGGGAUAUUUUU